AGUGAACGCUGGCGGUAGGCCUAACACAUGCAAGUCGAACGGCAGCACAGUAAGAGCUUGCUCUUACGGGUGGCGAGUGGCGGACGGGUGAGGAAUACAUCGGAAUCUACUUUUUCGUGGGGGAUAACGUAGGGAAACUUACGCUAAUACCGCAUACGACCUACGGGUUAAAUCAGUGGUUCUUCGGACCUUGCGCGAUUGAAUGAGCCGAUGUCGGAUUAGCUAGUUGGCGGGGUAAAGGCCCACCAAGGCGACGAUCCGUAGCUGGUCUGAGAGGAUGAUCAGCCACACUGGAACUGAGACACGGUCCAGACUCCUACGGGAGGCAGCAGUGGGGAAUAUUGGACAAUGGGCGCAAGCCUGAUCCAGCCAUACCGCGUGGGUGAAGAAGGCCUUCGGGUUGUAAAGCCCUUUUGUUGGGAAAGAAAAGCAGCAGGUUAAUACCCCGCUGUUCUGACGGUACCCAAAGAAUAAGCACCGGCUAACUUCGUG
This 492-nucleotide ribosomal RNA is filed under the name uncultured bacterium. RNAcentral describes it as "partial 16S ribosomal RNA". It matches the Rfam family "Bacterial small subunit ribosomal RNA", at positions 29 to 507 of the family's 1533-position model. The record is from RNAcentral.